UCUUUAAUUUGGUAGUUCUGUAUUGGCGGCAAAGGUGACGAAUCACGUUUCUCCUGGUUUUGUUUGAUAUCUUUGGCACAUGUUAAGCAGAAUUAUUUCAAGCCUGACUUUGGCAUGUGGUGUGUGCAAUGCAUGUGUGUGUGUAGUGAUUAUUCACUCACUAAGAGUUUGCUCUUUGGCAUGGGAUCAUAUCGGUCAAGGUGGGAGGUGACCUGCACCCACCGAGGUAAACGAGAUGUGACUCUCUAUACUCAUCUUCAUUCCCUACUUCUAAAGUUAAGUACAUCUAAAACGAUAAACAUGAAUGAUUUCGCUGAGUUACAGUUACAGCAGAGAUCUGAAUCCUCCUGGCCUUGUGUGUGAUCUAUGCUGUGUCUCACCAAGAAAAUCUGAUGCGUCCCAAUAAUUUUGUUAUUCACCGGUCGGCGGGACGCCUUCGACCGUGUGUGUGUGUGUGUGUGUGUUGUACUUGGCGAGAGGGCCCAUUAGAUAUACAGCGUCAAAGUAUUUGAUUAUUAAGAACGCUGCCAGCGUUUAACAGUACACGAAACUGAAGAAGAAGAAGAAGAAGAGAAAAAGAAGAAAAAGGAACAAGAGAAAAUAGUUAUCCUUCCUCCUUUCGAGCGAACCUUCUGGGUCAUGUGGGUUUGUACAUACACACACACACACGACGGUUGUAUAAGCCUAGAAGGAAUUCCCUCUCUUUAGCUGGUACAUUCUUCUUCUUAUUUCUUUUCUCUUUUGGUUUUCUC
This is a long non-coding RNA of Daphnia pulicaria, 752 nucleotides long. RefSeq lists it as uncharacterized. The transcript has 3 exons. Lineage: Eukaryota; Metazoa; Arthropoda; Branchiopoda; Diplostraca; Daphniidae. The record is from RefSeq and is a predicted model, not a curated record.